This 136-nucleotide ribosomal RNA is filed under the name Salvator merianae (Argentine black and white tegu). The record is from RNAcentral. Lineage: Eukaryota; Metazoa; Chordata; Lepidosauria; Squamata; Teiidae.
CCUGGGGCCCCUCUAACUUCUGCUUUGGCAGUAAGAAUGCCCCUCACUGAUCUUGUCUGAGCUUGGAAGCUAAGUAGGUUUGGGCCUGGUUAGUACUUGGAUGGGAAACUGCUUGGGACUGCCAGGUACCCUAGGC